Molecule: ribosomal RNA, 252 nt
Filed under: uncultured bacterium
Lineage: Bacteria
Description: partial 16S ribosomal RNA
Rfam family: Bacterial small subunit ribosomal RNA
Source: RNAcentral
UACGUAGGGAGCGAGCGUUGUCCGGAAUUACUGGGUGUAAAGGGAGCGUAGGAGGGACUGCAAGUUGGGUGUCAAAUCUACCGGCUCAACCGGUAGCCGCACUCAAAACUGCAGUUCUUGAGUGAAGUAGAGGCAGGCGGAAUUCCUAGUGUAGCGGUGAAAUGCGUAGAUAUUAGGAGGAACACCAGUGGCGAAGGCGGCCUGCUGGGCUUUUACUGACGCUGAGGCUCGAAAGUGUGGGGAGCAAACAGG